UUCUCACGUGUAUUGUGAACUUACAUCAUUUAAAUGAUAACUAAAGUAUCAUAUCAACUUAUCUAAAGGUAAAAGAAAUCCUCAAAGAGAAUCGUCGAGUUAUUUUAUUGUGCUUUCUUUAUUUAUCUACUCAACAGAAAAUAGUGAUACAUGUAUGAUUGUAUAAGAUUUUUUUGCACUGAAACAUUGUUUGUAAGAAUACAUAACCCACAAGUUUGCUUUGACAAUAUAAGGUUAAAAUUUAUUUGUAUCAAAUUUUUUUAUUGUAUGUUGAGUUUUCCGAAAUUCAUAGUUUUUAUUGUUUUUGCCCUGUCUGUUGGUCUGUUUGCGCCAACUUUAACAUUUUGCAAUAACUUUUGCUAUAUUGAAGAUAGCAACUUCAUAUUUGCAUGCAUGUGUAUCUCAUGAAGCUGCACAUUUUGAGUGGUGAAAGGUCAAGGUCAUGGUCAUCCUUAAAGGUCAGAGGUCAAAUAUAUGUGGCCAAAAUCGCUCAUUUUAUGAAUACUUUUGCAAUAUUGAAGAUAGCAACUUGAUAUUUGGCAUGCAUGUGUAUCUCAUGGAGCUGCACAUUUUGAGUGGUGAAAGGUCAAGGUCAUCCUUCAAGGUCAGAGGUCAAAUAUAUGUGGCCCAAAUCGCUUAUUUUAUGAAUACUUUUGCAAUAUUGAAGAUAGCAACUUGAUAUUUGGCAUGCAUGUGUAUCUCAUGGAGCUGCACAUUUUGAGUGGUGAAAGGUCAAGGUCAUCCUUCACAAGGUCAAGGUCAUCCUUCAAGGUCAAACAUCAUAUAGGGGGACAUUGUGUUUCACAAACACAUCUUGUUUUCUUGUUAUUAUUUUUAUCAUUACAUACGUCCAAAGAAUGUGCCGUUCGUACAUUUCUUACAUCAAACUAUACAAUUUUGCAAAAUUCUUAAAUGAAUAUUCUUAGGUGACGUACUUUUUGUUAAUUGAUCUCAAACACAUUCGUGACUUAUUUUGGCAAGGUGACCUUAUGUACAUUAUGUUAUAAAAAAUAUAUUUCAAUCUAGUUAUUACUAUUUUGAACGUAGGUUAUAUCUUGUGAUUUUAGUUAAUGGUUUCAAUACGCGUGUUUUUUCUUGUUUAUGUUAGUACUCAUUUAUCUGACGCACUGAAUCAUUGAUUGAAAUAACCGUAGCCUAUAUUGUUUACUCUCUUUAUAUUAUAUGAAGCUUUUCGGAUGUUGCUGUCUUUAGUAUAGCCCUUUGUGACAAUGCAGUAUUAACUUUAUUUUGUUUCCGUUUUUUGUGGGUUCGGGUACCUAUUUAUAUACGCGUUUGUUCAAUAUUCUUCGGCAUUAUGUUAGUUACUUUUCUUCUCGAGUUCUUGUUUUGUUAUGGUAUGUGUUAAGGUGUUUUCGCCUUAGCACUUGUCUUUAAUAUCAUUGAUAACCUCUGAUUACAUUGUUUGUUCAUUUCUGUUUGUGUAACAUCGGGGUUCCUGAGUGGUAUAUUUUGAAGUGUCUUUUACUGACUAACUUUUUCCAUAAACUGUUAAUAAUUAAAACAAGAGUUUUUUUUAAAACAAACUCCCUUAUACCCGUACAUGAACCGUAAGUUCUCAGUAUUGCAAUUGUUUAAUCAUUAAGCGCAUACGAUUUUAAUGUCAAAGUUUUGUUUUCUUAGCGUAAUCGAGCAGGUAAAUAUAAUCGAGGAAUUUUAAAUCAAAUUAAUUAAUCUUGUAAUGGUAUCACAACUCAAAUAAUGUUUCUUCCAUGAAAUUCAUAACGAACCUUUUACGCUGAUUCCGACACAUUUACUCGCAUUUAUUACAGAAACAAACUGUGUGUUUUUCACUCUGAUCGCUACGGUCACUUCCGGGAGGCGGAAAGAUUAUCUCAGCUUUGCAAAAAUAGGUAUGUUUGAAUUUUUUAAGAUCGUAUAAACAUUCUUGAGAGAGACAAGUGUAGAUAAAAGAAGGCAUUGUGAGUUCACGCGUUAAUUAGUCUUGUGAUUUUUGCAUGGUUAUCUAAUAGCAUCAUCUUCAAAAGGCUUGCGAUUUGUUAAUUUCCUAUUUAUUUCCUGUGAUCAGUUUCACGUCAUUUAAAUACGAUAUUAUCUUAAAUGUCCAAUAUUUAUUUUUGUAUUUUUGCUCGUUACCAUAACGAAUAUAUGAGAUCGUGGUUUUCCAUGUUUGCUGAUAGUUUACGUUUAUUUCAACUCUCGAUAUUUUGCCAUGCAUUUAUUAUUUGGGAAUACUGUUGCUUUUGCUUUUGCUUGAAAUAAACAUUUGUUUGAAAUAAA
This is a long non-coding RNA of Dreissena polymorpha, 2259 nucleotides long. RefSeq lists it as uncharacterized. The record is from RefSeq and is a predicted model, not a curated record. The transcript is spliced from 2 exons. Lineage: Eukaryota; Metazoa; Mollusca; Bivalvia; Myida; Dreissenidae.